This 463-nucleotide ribosomal RNA is filed under the name Vreelandella stevensii. Its description in RNAcentral is "partial 16S ribosomal RNA". It matches the Rfam family "Bacterial small subunit ribosomal RNA", at positions 338 to 794 of the family's 1533-position model. Lineage: Bacteria; Pseudomonadati; Pseudomonadota; Gammaproteobacteria; Oceanospirillales; Halomonadaceae. The record is from RNAcentral.
CCUACGGGUGGCGGCAGUGGGGAAUAUUGGACAAUGGGCGAAAGCCUGAUCCAGCCAUGCCGCGUGUGUGAAGAAGGCCUUCGGGUUGUAAAGCACUUUCAGUGGGGAAGAAAGCCUUGGGGCUAAUACCCUCGAGGAAGGACAUCACCCACAGAAGAAGCACCGGCUAACUCCGUGCCAGCAGCCGCGGUAAUACGGAGGGUGCGAGCGUUAAUCGGAAUUACUGGGCGUAAAGCGCGCGUAGGCGGUCUGAUAAGCCGGUUGUGAAAGCCCCGGGCUCAACCUGGGAACGGCAUCCGGAACUGUCAGGCUAGAGUGCAGGAGAGGAAGGUAGAAUUCCCGGUGUAGCGGUGAAAUGCGUAGAGAUCGGGAGGAAUACCAGUGGCGAAGGCGGCCUUCUGGGCUGACACUGACGCUGAGGUGCGAAAGCGUGGGUAGCAAACAGGAUUAGAUACCGAGUAUC